This 28-nucleotide non-coding RNA is filed under the name Mus musculus (house mouse). The record is from RNAcentral. Lineage: Eukaryota; Metazoa; Chordata; Mammalia; Rodentia; Muridae.
UGUGACGGAGAUCAUACGGUGCCCGGAC